This is a long non-coding RNA of Globicephala melas (long-finned pilot whale), 1026 nucleotides long. RefSeq lists it as uncharacterized. The record is from RefSeq and is a predicted model, not a curated record. Lineage: Eukaryota; Metazoa; Chordata; Mammalia; Artiodactyla; Delphinidae.
AAGGUGAUGGGAGAAGUGCUGUUCCACUUCCUGACCAAGACUAUCUUGGGAGUCCAUCGUACUAAGAUGCCAACAUUCUGAGAACAUCAAGGAGAGGCCAGUUGGGAAGCAGGUGGAGAUGCGUGCUAGGUCCUUGAAAGGUGGGAAAACCGAGGCUUGGAGAUGUUUGUGCCUCGUCCAAGGUCACUCGGCCCGGAGGUGGUCAGAGCUAGGAUCUGCACCUACAGCUGUCUGUCUCCAGAGUUUAUACUCCUGCCAUAGCUAUUCCAUUUCUGGAAAAGCAAUUGUCGUGGCUCAGAUGCCAAGCCCUGCCUCCCUGGAUGGGCCUGCCAAAACCAGCCCUGCUUUGAUGAAGGCCAAGUACACCCUUUGCCAGCCUGAAAUUGGAUUCCCCGGCCUAGAAUCACCUGCAUGUAUCCCUGACUUUCAGGUUCAGAUCAGACAUUGUGUAGCACAACAGAUAAGAACUCAGGAUCUGGCUUCAAAUCCCAGCUCUACCAACUUCCAUCUGAACCUUUUUCAAGCCUCAACUUUCUUACCUUUAAAGUAGAGAUGAUAAUAACAGCAUCUUUCUUAUAGGGUUGCUGUGAAAUCUACACGCAUAGCUAAUAUCUAAUGAGUACCAGACACUCUUUUAAGCCCUGUACGUGUGUUAGUCCUAAUCCUAGAUGUAUCACCAUUUUAGAGAUGAGAAAACCAAGACAGUGAUUUGCCCAAGGUCUCGUGGAGUUGGAGUCUGUACCCAGGUAGGCUUGCUCCAGGGCCCCGUUGUUUGCAGUGACCCUAAGCUGCCUCUUGGUUUAAUGAAGCAAUGUGGUAGUCAGACAUGGGAAAACCUAAUGACCAUCACAUCUUUUUGUAUUCUGGAGGAUGUUAAUGUUUUAUCAUGCAAAAGGAGGAUUCCAGUUAACAAUGACAAAAGCCAUCCCCUGCAGGGCUGGAAUGUUUGCCAGAGAACUGAGAUCCACUCCCACAGAAGGUCCAACUGACCCAGGCCUCUAGGCCAGCCCUGCUCCCUGCACUUAA